UUGCCCAUGCAAAGCCACUAGCACCUGAGGCUGGUGCUGGCCCUGUUAAUAUACUAAAGCCAUGGGGUACGCCAUUGAUCUGCUUGUUGAGAAUUGUUCUGCUUUUCCUGCACAAAUCAGGAUACAGAAGUAAAUAAAAGCCGCAGUCAUCUUCAAGAAAUGUAGGAUUGUGCACUGAGAAAGAUCGAGUACAUCAGUUGAAAACUCAUGCACUUUACCUCCUGUCUUUUUCCUGAGAUAACGGAGAUCCACCUUAGUUGCAGAAAUUGGAAUUCAAGUGCUCGGUUUUAUUGGAAGGCAUAACCAGACCAACUACAGUAUCUAGUUUAAGAGCUGGCCUCAGUUACUCAAACUUGGACGUAAUUAAUGGUUCAAUGGGCAGCAUAACCGUAACAGCUAAUGAUUAUGAAAACAGAAUGAUGAUGUUUUCUUUGUGAAGUGGUUUUGGUGACUUUUAACAUGAAACCAAAUACACUCAAAGCUAAAUAGAGCCCUGACAAUGAUGCAACAUAUAAGUUUCAUUCCAUUAUCACAACAAACGAGAACAAAUGCAUGGAAAGACGCAAAACAGGGGAGAAGACAAGUAGAAAAAUAGUCAUGUCCAUGACAAAUUCUGAAAAGAC
Molecule: long non-coding RNA, 623 nt
Organism: Neltuma alba
Lineage: Eukaryota; Viridiplantae; Streptophyta; Magnoliopsida; Fabales; Fabaceae
Exons: 4
Source: RefSeq, a predicted model, not a curated record